CUGGUGGUGGCGGAGGCUGUGUGUGUGUGUGGCGGGCUGUCAGAUAUCCGCUGUAAUCUUCCUUAAGGGACACGAUCUGGUGGUGACUCGUGUUUCUGAUGAUUGUGCUGCUAAUAAGGGAGUGUUGGUGUUGUGGAGGCAGGGAUGAGGUGUGGAGUGGACGGAGGUGCGAGGGGGUGACUGUGUGUGGUGAAGGAAAUGGAGGACAAAAACAUCGAUUGCUGUAAGGUGUGGCGUGAAGCACCUGCAGCAGCCACACACCUGUACACACCUGCGUCUCGUCCACAACUAUGCACCACCACCACCACCACCACCACCACCGCCACCACCGCCACCGCCUCAGCAUUCCCUCUCACGCUUCCUAACCAGCCGUGCCUUCACACCAGCACGCCCUUUCAGAGUCUGCAGCAAGGUGACCACUGCUCCCUCAAAUAUACGGCUGGUCUUGUCCUCACCUGCGCCAAGAAUGAGGUGCGGAUGUGAUGAUAAUUAUGUUUUUUUUGUGUCUUUAUCUCGUGUCUUCGUAAGGGUGAAGAAACAGAUGGUGUGGGAGUGUUUGCUGCUUUGUUUUAGUUUGUGGCGCGUCCUUUAUCAGUGAGAAAUGGUGUUUUUUUUUUUUUUUUUUUGUGUGUGUGUGUGUCUAAAGUGAAGUUUCGUCGUUUUCGUGUCUUUAGUGUAGUUUGUUUUAUUUAUUUAUUUAUUUAUUUAUUUAUCUAUUUAUUUAUUUAUUUAUUUUGUGUGUG
Molecule: long non-coding RNA, 743 nt
Organism: Scylla paramamosain (green mud crab)
Lineage: Eukaryota; Metazoa; Arthropoda; Malacostraca; Decapoda; Portunidae
Exons: 3
Source: RefSeq, a predicted model, not a curated record